This is a long non-coding RNA of Bicyclus anynana (squinting bush brown), 571 nucleotides long. RefSeq lists it as uncharacterized. The transcript has 2 exons. NCBI's taxonomy places the organism in Eukaryota, Metazoa, Arthropoda, Insecta, Lepidoptera, Nymphalidae. The record is from RefSeq and is a predicted model, not a curated record.
UUGUUUUGAAUUUGUUGCCUCGUGCCUGCACCGCCAUUGUAAUUUUACUGCGAAAGAUUGGUUUUGACUUUUCAAUAAUUGAAAUCAUUGAAAUUCGCAUGAGCGCCGCUGGAAUUACUAAUAAUAAGGAUAAAUCUUUCUUGUUAAUUAAUUAUCUUCACUAUUUAAAUGAAUUUUGAUUAAUAAAAAGAUAUACAAUGUAGUUCGAUUCGUGCUUGGUUAUUGAUAAAAGUAAUUUUGUUUUAAAUUAAAAAUGAGGCAAUGUGUUAUUCCCAAGUGUAAAACGCGAUCAAAUUACGUGCUGUACCUUUUACUGAUAGUGAUAACACUAGAUGGGAGGCAUGGUUCAUCAAUUGUCCAAUAUUACGGAAAUAUACUCGUAGGCAGUUAGAAAACGUUGAAACUUGUGAAAACCACUUUCUACCCAGAAAAAAGACCUACUUAUUGGUAAUCAACGUGCACAGUGGUCCAUCAUUGAGGAGCUCUAUGCUACAGAUGGUGAAGCCGGACGUGCAAGAACCACAACCCUGACGGAUAAACACAUUAGACCAACUUCUUAUGACAAGAUGAA